Long non-coding RNA from Fukomys damarensis (Damara mole-rat), 1032 nucleotides. RefSeq lists it as uncharacterized. The record is from RefSeq and is a predicted model, not a curated record. The transcript has 4 exons. Lineage: Eukaryota; Metazoa; Chordata; Mammalia; Rodentia; Bathyergidae.
CAGAAACCAACAUGAGAUUCCAAAUCCCAAUAUUAAGAUGGACACGCUAUUUUUGCUAGGAUUUCAUUCAAGAAAAGGGAAGAAGACCCACCUGAAUUGUUUAGCGGCUGUGUGGCACUAGAGAGAAAGGAUUUCCUGCAUUGACCACAGCCCAGGACCGAGUGUUCCCCCAUGCCAGCGUCAUGUGUGGGGCAGAGAGCGGCCCAAAGCCCACCUGCACUCCCCGUACGCUGGCACUGUGUGUGUUGACCGAAGGAUUUCAGAAACACGGAGUCAGAAAUCUGUGUCGCAGACUGGAUGAGACAUUUAUCUAACACGGCACAUUGGUGUUGGUCUUUCGAAACCUGUCUUAUGAUUCAGGAAAUUGGGAGACUCCUGCGAAGGCUGGUGGCCUCCUCUCUUAAGAAAUCUACCACCACCCGAGAUGGCCCUGCUGGGAAGGAGUCUUUCCUGGCUCUCUGGGACUUCUGGGAUUUCCGGGACUUCCAGGACUGCUGAGACUGCCGGGACUUCCGGUGCAGAAGCUCCAGCCAAUGUGAUUGUCCUCUGCCGUGCAGCCUAGAGGCCCCUUGCCAGCCUGGUCCUCACAGCCUUCCAGAUUCUGCUCUGAGCCAUCGCCAGUGGUUCACACAGACGGGCAGCAGGUGCUGACCACUAAUCCACCUCCAUUUUUCAUCAAGGCUGGCCUUCUCCAAGAAGGUCUCAGGUGCAUGGUGCCAGGCAUCAGGAAGUUCCUGACCGAAAAGGAUCAGGCACCCCUUCUACCCACAGGCAACAGCUUGUACUGAGGAGAACAUUGCCACAGCCUAGGCCUUCAGGUCUCAGUGUGCUGUGAGGUAACUCUGGGACUCUGGAAGGGAUGGUGGAAGAGUCCCCUCCCUGGUAAGACUCAAAUGGACCAUCCAGGAGAUGACAGAGACACUAAACAAAGGACUCAGGAGAUUUCUUCUGAUAAGCUAUAUUCUAGCUGUAAUUAUUUAAUUAAAAAGUUUACUAGCAUAGGGCUGGGGAUUUAGCACAGUGGUUCGGUGG